RNAcentral lists this ribosomal RNA (588 nucleotides) under uncultured bacterium. RNAcentral describes it as "partial 16S ribosomal RNA". It matches the Rfam family "Bacterial small subunit ribosomal RNA", at positions 355 to 1375 of the family's 1533-position model. The record is from RNAcentral.
UGGGGAAUAUUGCACAAUGGGCGCAAGCCUGAUGCAGCCAUGCCGCGUGUGUGAAGAAGGCCUUCGGGUUGUAAAGCACUUUCAGCGAGGAGGAAGGUGGUGAACUUAAUACGUUCAUCAAUUGACGUUACUCGCAGAAGAAGCACCGGCUAACUCCGUGCCAGCAGCCGCGGUAAUACGGAGGGUGCAAGCGUUAAUCGGAAUUACUGGGCGUAAAGCGCACGCAGGCGGUUUGUUAAGUCAGAUGUGAAAUCCCCGGGCUCAACCUGGGAACUGCAUUUGAAACUGGCAAGCUAGAGUCUCGUAGAGGGGGGUAGAAUUCCAGGUGUAGCGGUGAAAUGCGUAGAGAUCUGGAGGAAUACCGGUGGCGAAGGCGGCCCCCUGGACGAAGACUGACGCUCAGGUGCGAAAGCGUGGGGAGCAAACAGGGUUAGAUACCCUGGUAGUCCACGCUGUAAAACGAUGUCGAUUUUGGAGGUUGUGCCCUUGAGGCGUGGCUUCCGGAGCUAACGCGUUAAAUCGACCGCCUGGGGAGUACGGCCGCAAGGUUAAAACUCAAAUGAAUUGACGGGGUCAUAGCUGUUUCCU